AUGUUUCAGGUUUCUACUACUGCAGAUGUUUCAGGUUUCUACUACUGCAGGUGUUUCAGGUUUCUACUACUGCAGGUGUUUCAGGUUUCUUCUACUGCAGAUGUUUCAGGUUUCUACUGCUGCAGGUGUUUCAGGUUUCUACUACUGCAGGUGUUUCAGGUUUCUUCUACUGCAGAUGUUUCAGGUUUCUACUGCUGCAGGUGUUUCAGGUUUUUACUACUGCAGGUGUUUCAGGUUUUUACUACUGCAGGUGUUUCAGGUUUCUACUACUGCAGAUGUUUCAGGUUUCUACUACUGCAGAUGUUUCAGGUUUCUACUACUGCAGAUGUUUCAGGUUUCUACUACUGCAGGUGUUUCAGGUUUCUACUACUGCAGGUGUUUCAGGUUUCUUCUACUGCAGGUGUUUCAGGUUUCUACUACUGCAGGUGUUUCAGGUUUCUACUACUGCAGAUGUUUCAGGUUUCUACUACUGCAGGUGUUUCAGGUUUCUACUACUGCAGGUGUUUCAGGUUUCUUCUACUGCAGGUGUUUCAGGUUUCUUCUACUGCAGGUGUUUCAGGUUUCUACUGCUGCAGGUGUUUCAGGUUUCUGCUACUGCAGAUGUUUCAGGUUUUUACUACUGCAGAUGUUUCAGGUUUCUACUACUGCAGGUGUUUCAGGUUUCUACUACUGCAGAUGUUUCAGGUUUCUACUGCUGCAGAUGUUUCAGGUUUCUACUACUGCAGAUGUUUCAGGUUUCUACUGCUGCAGGUGUUUCAGGUUUCUACUACUGCAGAUGUUUCAGGUUUCUACUACUGCAGGUGUUUCAGGUUUCUACUGCUGCAGAUGUUUCAGGUUUCUACUGCUGCAGGUGUUUCAGGUUUCUACUACUGCAGAUGUUUCAGGUUUCUACUACUGCAGAUGUUUCAGGUUUCUAUUGCUGCAGAUGUUUCAGGUUUCUACUGCAGAUGUUUCAGGUUUCUACUGCUGCAGAUGUUUCAGGUUUCUACUGCUGCAGGUGUUUCAGGUUUCUACUACUGCAGAUGUUUCAGGUUUCUACUACUGCAGGUGUUUCAGGUUUCUUCUACUGCAGGUGUUUCAGGUUUCUUCUACUGCAGGUGUUUCAGGUUUCUACUGCUGCAGGUGUUUCAGGUUUCUGCUACUGCAGAUGUUUCAGGUUUUUACUACUGCAGAUGUUUCAGGUUUCUACUACUGCAGGUGUUUCAGGUUUCUACUACUGCAGAUGUUUCAGGUUUCUACUGCUGCAGAUGUUUCAGGUUUCUACUACUGCAGGUGUUUCAGGUUUCUACUGCUGCAGGUGUUUCAGGUUUCUACUGCAGAUGUUUCAGGUUUCUACUGCUGCAGAUGUUUCAGGUUUCUACGACUGCAGAUGUUUCAGGUUUCUACUGCUGCAGAUGUUUCAGGUUUCUACUGCUGCAGAUGUUUCAGGUUUCUACUGCUGCAGGUGUUUCAGGUUUCUACUACUGCAGGUGUUUCAGGUUUCUACUGCUGCAGAUGUUUCAGGUUUCUACUGCAGGUGUUUCAGGUUUCUACUGCUGCAGGUGUUUCAGAUUUCUACUGCAGAUGUUUCAGGUUUCUACUGCUGCAGAUGUUUCAGGUUUCUACGACUGCAGAUGUUUCAGGUUUCUACUGCUGCAGAUGUUUCAGGUUUCUACUGCUGCAGAUGUUUCAGGUUUCUACUGCUGCAGGUGUUUCAGGUUUCUACUACUGCAGGUGUUUCAGGUUUCUACUGCUGCAGAUGUUUCAGGUUUCUACUGCAGGUGUUUCAGGUUUCUACUGCUGCAGGUGUUUCAGGUUUCUACUACUGCAGGUGUUUCAGGUUUCUACUGCAGGUGUUUCAGGUUUCUACUGCUGCAGGUGUUUCAGAUUUCUACUGCAGAUGUUUCAGGUUUCUACUGCUGCAGGUGUUUCAGGUUUCUACUGCAGGUGUUUCAGGUUUCUACUGCUGCAGGUGUUUCAGGUUUCUACGACUGCAGAUGUUUCAGGUUUCUACUGCUGCAGAUGUUUCAGGUUUCUACUGCUGCAGAUGUUUCAGGUUUCUACUGCUGCAGGUGUUUCAGGUUUCUACUACUGCAGGUGUUUCAGGUUUCUACUACUGCAGAUGUUUCAGGUUUCUACUGCUGCAGGUGUUUCAGGUUUCUACUGCUGCAGAUGUUUCAGGUUUCUACUACUGCAGAUGUUUCAGGUUUCUACUGCUGCAGGUGUUUCAGGUUUCUACUACUGCAGAUGUUUCAGGUUUCUACUGCUGCAGAUGUUUCAGGUUUCUACUGCUGCAGGUGUUUCAGGUUUCUACUACUGCACAUGUUUCAGGUUUCUACUGCUGCAGCUGUUUCAGGUUUCUACUACUGCACAUGUUUCAGGUUUCUACUGCUGCAGGUGUUUCAGGUUUCUACUGCAGAUGUUUCAGGUUUCUACUGCUGCAGGUGUUUCAGGUUUCUACUGCUGCAGAUGUUUCAGGUUUCUACUACUGCAGGUGUUUCAGGUUUCUACUACUGCAGGUGUUUCAGGUUUCUACUGCAGAUGUUUCAGGUUUCUACUGCUGCAGGUGUUUCAGGUUUCUACUACUGCAGGUGUUUCAGGUUUCUUCUACUGCAGGUGUUUCAGGUUUCUUCUACUGCAGGUGUUUCAGGUUUCUACUGCUGCAGGUGUUUCAGGUUUCUGCUACUGCAGAUGUUUCAGGUUUUUACUACUGCAGAUGUUUCAGGUUUCUACUACUGCAGGUGUUUCAGGUUUCUACUACUGCAGAUGUUUCAGGUUUCUACUGCUGCAGAUGUUUCAGGUUUCUACUGCAGGUGUUUCAGGUUUCUACGACUGCAGAUGUUUCAGGUUUCUACUACUGCAGAUGUUUUAGGUUUCUACUACUGCAGGUGUUUCAGGUUUCUACUGCAGAUGUUUCAGGUUUCUACGACUGCAGAUGUUUCAGGUUUCUACUACUGCAGAUGUUUCAAGUUUCUACUGCAGAUGUUUCAGGUUUUUACUACUGCAGGUGUUUCAGGUUUCUACUGCAGGUGUUUCAGGUUUCUACUACUGCAGGUGUUUCAGGUUUCUACGACUGCAGAUGUUUCAGGUUUCUACUACUGCAGAUGUUUCAGGUUUCUACUGCAGAUGUUUCAGGUUUCUACUACUGCAGAUGUUUCAGGUUUCUACUACUGCAGAUGUUUCAGGUUUCUACUGCAGAUGUUUCAGGUUUCUACUACUGCAGGUGUUUCAGGUUUCUACGACUGCAGAUGUUUCAGGUUUCUACUACUGCAGAUGUUUCAGGUUUCUACUGCAGGUGUUUCGGGUUUCUACUGCAGGUGUUUCAGGUUUCUACUGCAGAUGUUUCAGGUUUCUACUGCUGCAGGUGUUUCAGGUUUCUACUGCAGGUGUUUCAGGUUUCUACUGCUGCAGAUGUUUCAGGUUUCUACUGCAGGUGUUUCAGGUUUCUACUGCAGGUGUUUCAGGUUUCUACUACUGCAGGUGUUUCAGGUUUCUACUAAUGCAGAUGUUUCAGGUUUCUACUGCAGCUGUUUCAGGUUUCUACUACUGCAGGUGUUUCAGGUUUCUACUACUGCAGGUGUUUCAGGUUUCUACUACUGCAGGUGUUUCAGGUUUCUACUGCUGCAGAUGUUUCAGGUUUCUACUGCUGCAGAUGUUUCGGGUUUCUACUGCAGGUGUUUCAGGUUUCUACUACUGCAGGUGUUUCAGGUUUCUACUUCUGCAGAUGUUUCAGGUUUCUACUACUGCAGGUGUUUCAGGUUUCUACUACUGCAGGUGUUUCAGGUUUCUACUGCUGCAGAUGUUUCAGGUUUCUACUGCUGCAGAUGUUUCGGGUUUCUACUGCAGGUGUUUCAGGUUUCUACUACUGCAGGUGUUUCAGGUUUCUACUGCUGCAGGUGUUUCAGGUUUCUACUACUGCAGGUGUUUCAGGUUUCUACUACUGCAGAUGUUUCAGGUUUCUACUGCAGGUGUUUCAGGUUUCUACGACUGCAGAUGUUUCAGGUUUCUACUACUGCAGAUGUUUCAGGUUUCUACUACUGCAGGUGUUUCAGGUUUCUACUGCAGAUGUUUCAGGUUUCUACGACUGCAGAUGUUUCAGGUUUCUACUACUGCAGAUGUUUCAGGUUUCUACUGCAGAUGUUUCAGGUUUUUACUACUGCAGGUGUUUCAGGUUUCUACUGCAGGUGUUUCAGGUUUCUACUACUGCAGGUGUUUCAGGUUUCUACGACUGCAGAUGUUUCAGGUUUCUACUACUGCAGAUGUUUCAGGUUUCUACUGCAGAUGUUUCAGGUUUCUACUACUGCAGAUGUUUCAGGUUUCUACUACUGCAGAUGUUUCAGGUUUCUACUGCAGAUGUUUCAGGUUUCUACUACUGCAGGUGUUUCAGGUUUCUACGACUGCAGAUGUUUCAGGUUUCUACUACUGCAGAUGUUUCAGGUUUCUACUGCAGGUGUUUCAGGUUUCUACUACUGCAGGUGUUUCAGGUUUCUACUGCAGAUGUUUCAGGUUUCUACUGCUGCAGGUGUUUCAGGUUUCUACUGCAGGUGUUUCAGGUUUCUACUGCUGCAGAUGUUUCAGGUUUCUACUGCAGGUGUUUCAGGUUUCUACUGCAGGUGUUUCAGGUUUCUACUACUGCAGGUGUUUCAGGUUUCCACUAAUGCAGAUGUUUCAGGUUUCUACUGCAGCUGUUUCAGGUUUCUACUACUGCAGGUGUUUCAGGUUUCUACUACUGCAGGUGUUUCAGGUUUCUACUACUGCAGGUGUUUCAGGUUUCUACUGCUGCAGAUGUUUCAGGUUUCUACUGCUGCAGAUGUUUCGGGUUUCUACUGCAGGUGUUUCAGGUUUCUACUACUGCAGGUGUUUCAGGUUUCUACUUCUGCAGAUGUUUCAGGUUUCUACUACUGCAGGUGUUUCAGGUUUCUACUACUGCAGGUGUUUCAGGUUUCU
Molecule: long non-coding RNA, 4926 nt
Filed under: Oryzias javanicus (javanese ricefish)
Lineage: Eukaryota; Metazoa; Chordata; Actinopteri; Beloniformes; Adrianichthyidae
Description: lncRNA (ENSOJAG00000020805.1)
Source: RNAcentral